This is a long non-coding RNA of Cucumis melo (muskmelon), 640 nucleotides long. RefSeq lists it as uncharacterized. The record is from RefSeq and is a predicted model, not a curated record. Lineage: Eukaryota; Viridiplantae; Streptophyta; Magnoliopsida; Cucurbitales; Cucurbitaceae. The transcript is spliced from 3 exons.
ACAGUAGCCGUGUGCAACGUUCAUCGUCUCUUUCGUCUGCCAAUUCGUUUGUCGUCUCUUCCGUCUGCCUGUUGCGUUCAUCCUCUCUUCUGUCUGUCGCCGUUGUGCCGUCUUUUCCGUCUGGCCAUUCCUUCGUCGUCCCUUUCGUUUGCACGUUGUGUUCGUCGUCCCUCGCAAGCCACCGUUCGUCGCAAGCCGCCACUCAAGAAAAGUUGCGUUUGUUCGCCGCCAUUCACAAGCCGCCGCCGUCGUUUCUGCCCUUUUCAGUCCAGUCUGCCGCCAUUAACAGAAGAAGGCGUAGAAGUAGGAGGGUUCAUAUCAGAAUUGGAGUGAGGAAUCUACUAAACUAAUACCACGGCCGAUGUGGUGGUUCGAGGAUACAAUGGCUACAAUACAAGAUAGGCGCCUAAGGUCAUUGAACGAGUCUUCCCACCAUCAGAAGAACGGGUGCUGCCAGAGAAGGAGCUGCCUCACCACUUGCUGUGACAGUAUUCUUUGGAUCCCUUUUAAUAACAUCUCAAGAUAAAAUCGUAUACAAUUUGUUUCACUUCUAUAGUCUUUUAUUUUUAUUCUUAUGGGACUUUUGGGCUUUGUUCUUGUUGUUGUUAUUUACUUCCAUUUAUGUCAUGAAGUUCUUGUC